AGAUUCUGAUAAAGACACAGGGAGGGAGAAGUCGAACCGAAGACUUUGUUUUUUUGUCCAUUUGUUCUUCAGCCUUCCAAAGAGAAAGCUCUCGGUGAGACUGCCUCCAGAUGUCCUCACGUACACUUGGGUUGAUAAAAGCCCGACGUGUGCACCACGAAGAUGGACCAGAGCUGAGGACCAAACCCAGGCUAGGCAAGCGCUCUACCACUGAGCUACACUCCCAACCCCUUCACCUUGCCAUUCUGACCUGGAAGCAGUCAGUGUUUGGAGUUUGGAAACUCUUUUUCUUGUAGGAAAAAGUGCUCUCCCCGUGUCUUUGAAGGUGGCAGCUUGCAGAAAGGAAAUGGAAUGGAGCAACACCAUAGCAGAAGAAGCAGCUUGCUUCAGACUCUCUCAGGCUACAGGAUAGCUUCCCCAGAGAGACGAUGGAUAUGGGCCAGAGGUCAGCCAUUCACCGUGAAUUCACACAUGGAGAGAAGAGCUAGUGGCCUCGGCAGCUCUCUUCCUGAUCGGAGCCUUGGCUGUUCUUCUUCCAAACAUUCUUCCAAAUGUUCCACCUGCACCCGCUCACCUCUGUCUCACCUCUGCCGUCGUGUUCAGACUCGGCUUCACAUCUAACCCUGGCCUUGAUCCAACUUCUUCCUAGGCCAGAUGUCCUACAGGCCUGCCGAGGGGAAGAGUCCUUCAUCCCAUACUGAGCAGGUAAGAUGAGAGGACUAGGACUUCUGAACAAGGCACCACUGCUCCAAGGAUCCAUAUUUGUCCUCUCAAAGCUGUGUAUCCAAUGCUGUGAUUAAUAAUCUUUAUGUAAAGGACAGCAGAGACCUGAAGUAAUGCUUACUCUUAGACGGAGACUUUUGAAACUCUCAGAGUUACUGGCUCCCAAAUUGGGAUUCACAGGUGUAACGCACUGUGCUACGUGGACUGUUUCUGAGUCAAGCUCUCUCCUAAUCUAAGGUGACAUCAGUGGGAACUGCUGCACUGCUUUAUGUACCACGGAGACAGGAAAGCGUGCUGACCACUAAGCCUUAUUUUUAUAGUAAGAUGCGUCAAGUUUAGAGAGGUUAAAAUGAGGAUCAUGAAAAACAGUUGCAUCCAUGUUGUUAGGGCAAAAUAACUAUCUUUAUAAAGAGCUUAAGUCAAGAAUCUAUACACAGUGAUAUCUCUCUCAAUCAGUGUUAGAUAGGAAGGUGAGUUAUUCAGUGAUCUUGUGUUUCAUCUUAGCAGAAGGCUAUAUCCCAGGGUUUCACUGACUCAUGGCAGAGUGACGUCUAGAUCAACUCAAUGAUCUGGUUUCGAGGAGCUGAGUAGGUCAGAAUAGAGUGAGAUGUGAGUGCUCCACUUGCGUCCGAGGGAAGCCCUACAGGUCUGUUAGGGCAGGACAAGAGAUCUGGAGCCCCUGAAUUCUGCAAACAAAGCCUAGUAGGUAAAGUCUGGGUGAGAAACUCACUGAUACUUUAACAACGAAGGUGUGAACGGGCAGAGUGACCAGUGGGGACGCGGUACUCACUGUCUAAGACAGAGUGUUUGUGUCCUUAAAGGUGUUGGCAUGAUGGAGAGGUUGCUCCACCCACCAGAAAAGGGAGAAAAAAAGGUUGCCAUGGCAACUCCUUCCCUGUGAAGUUUUUUGAAGAGUGACAUGCCCUUGUUCCUUUCUCAAAGCUAUUCUUCUCUACUCUCCUUUCUCAUUGCUCUUGAUGCUACACUUUCCAAUAUUAUAGUUAGGACCUGAUCCGGAAUGAGUGGCUAGGACUCCUAGUCUUUCACAAGGAGUGGAAGCCAGAGAAAGGACACAGCAGGAGACAGUAAGGUAGGCAACUCUCCUAAAUGAAGAAGAUGGCAGAAGCAUUCCUUGGUGGGUUGGGGUUACAUGAUGCAGAAGGCAUUCACCUACCUCAGAAAGUAGGACCCACCCACCCCUGACCUCUCCAUGAUGGCAGAACCUGUUUUAGAUAGGCAUAGAGGGAAAAGAGGAUGUGGCUUGACUCUACACAAGCUGUGUUGAAGAGGGCAGUCACGGUGAUAAGGGUGGUCUCAAAGGCUGUGGCUUCUGCGUCUUUUCAGUAUCUGACUAGGGGGUUUCACGGUUCGGAAGGCUCAGGGAGGAGACCACGUAUUUGUUAGUUUCCUGUUGGCUGGUCACUGUGGUUUGCCUGGAUACAUCAUGUGUGAAGCAUGCUCAACACUGACACACACACUCUCUCUCUCUCUCCCCACCCCCCACCUCCUUCCCCCUCUCUCUUGUAACAGAAAGGUACAAUAAAGCCAUUUAAAAAAA
Molecule: long non-coding RNA, 2281 nt
Filed under: Mus musculus (house mouse)
Lineage: Eukaryota; Metazoa; Chordata; Mammalia; Rodentia; Muridae
Description: predicted gene 12596
Source: RNAcentral